UUCUGGUCGGCCCCACCACUGAAACAACAUAUUUUUUUUCUUAUUUCCUUUCCUUUCCCUUACCUUAUCUCCUCAACUCUUCUAGUGGGCUCAGUUUGAGCUCAAUGAGGCGUUUCCCACAAGAUGAGAUGGUGAGAUGCAGUCCGCCGUCUAGGGCCAUCGCCGUCGCUAGCGACAAGUAGGGGUCUGUUCCCAUGCCUAUGCUCCCCUCAAUUCGUGCUCGGAAAUGAUUCACACAAGAUGAGAUGCGGUGUGCCGUUCGAGGUCGUCGCCGUCGCCGGAGGCAAGGCGAUAGCUAUUGCGGGUAGCACCGCUUGCGUCCGGCGCGCCUAUGCCCGAGCCUAAGCUAUGGCAGCUGCUCCAUGCCGCUGUUCCCCGCCAAACAACAUCGUGU
RNAcentral lists this ribosomal RNA (394 nucleotides) under Triticum aestivum (bread wheat). RNAcentral's name for it is "partial small subunit ribosomal RNA". Lineage: Eukaryota; Viridiplantae; Streptophyta; Magnoliopsida; Poales; Poaceae. The record is from RNAcentral.